Long non-coding RNA from Lemur catta (Ring-tailed lemur), 1114 nucleotides. RefSeq lists it as uncharacterized. The record is from RefSeq and is a predicted model, not a curated record. NCBI's taxonomy places the organism in Eukaryota, Metazoa, Chordata, Mammalia, Primates, Lemuridae. The transcript has 4 exons.
GAACGCAAGCGGCUCCCCCAAGGGAAGGCACACCUCCCAGGAACAGGUGCGUCAGCUCACAUUCGUAAACAGCAGUCAGGGACAAAAUAGGGGUUAUAACUAGAGAUCUAUAGUUGUAUAAAUUAAUUCACUUACAUUAUUUGAAAAUUGGAUAUCCACAAAAGUUAACCAGAACACAUAAUGCACCAGAACCCCCUUUUCUCACCCAGUUUAGCUGCUCACCAUGAUAAUGUUCUGACCUCAAAGCAGGCCACACAAGGCAGGGAUUGCCCUGGGAAGCCACAUUUUAAACAGCUCUCUCCACCGCCAUCGACCAAACAGCAAACAGGCCUUGGAAACCACAUGUAGGACGUGUACACUGCUGUCCGAUCAAUCGCCAUUAGGAUGAAUGGCUCUGGCCGCUGUAAGUCCGACACCCUCAGAUUGUACAUCAUGAAGGAGAUCUUGAUGAAAGAAUGGAAACACUGACGCCCUGAGUGGUUGAAGAUCAUGCUGAUGCAUUUGAGAACUCUGGAGCCCCAGCUUCCCACCACUUUGCUGCCUGCCUCCCUGUGAACGCUCCCGCCGGGUCUCUCAAAUCACUUGCAUUAUGGCGCAGAAGAGAAAGGGAAAGGGUCCCGGCUGGCCCCGGCCCCGAUGGUGCCCCGCAGCCUCCCUCAUCAGUGCUGCACACCAGCAAAGAUUUUUCAAUGUCUGAUUUUAUUAUCUACUUACAGAAUGCUUUCAUGACUAUUACAUCAAAAAUUAGCUGAGCUAUUUUUCCUCCAAGAAUUUCCUUUCCCAUAUAACCAGAUACCAGCUGUCCCCUUACCCAGGGUAUGCUGUGGCUGACCCUGAAGAGCCGGGGCAGUUAGCAAUGCCAUUAGGCUGCUAGCGACAGACUGUGGCUUAAACUAGAAAGAAAUUUAUUUCUGUCUCGUGGAAAAGAAGGCAGAACUGGGGUGGGAGCUCUGCUGUGUCCUCAGGGACUGGCUGUCUUUCUGCUCCGCUUCCCUGAGCGUGUGGCUGUGUGACAAGUGCAUCUUCACUCCAGCCAGAAAGGGGGAGGAAAGAAGAAGCAGGCAGAAGGGACACAUGCUGCUUCUGAAGGAGUUGUGUGUACCAGGCCCAGUAC